Molecule: long non-coding RNA, 1481 nt
Organism: Oryza sativa Japonica Group (Japanese rice)
Lineage: Eukaryota; Viridiplantae; Streptophyta; Magnoliopsida; Poales; Poaceae
Source: RefSeq, a predicted model, not a curated record
CGCGGUACCGCCGCCGCUCGGGCUCUGCUCCCCUCUGCCGCCGCCGCUCUGGCUCCGCCGCCAACCGCUGCCACCAUCCGCUGGCGCCGGCGCCACUACCGCUCUGGCUCCGUCGCCAUCCUCCGCCGCCAUCGCCACUCGGGCUCCGUCCCCAUCCAUCGCCGCCAUCCGUCGCCGCUAUUCGGGCUCCAUCGCCGCCGCCGCUCGACGGCGAGGGACGACGAAGAUUACAGCGACGGCGAGAGGGGAGAAGCCAACGGCGGCGAAUCCGUGCGCAACGAAGGCCCCUCUUCGCCUGCAACUCGAGAGGCGAUAAUAUCCGCGCGACGGCGACUACACAGACGACAGCGGUGGUGGCUCAUGACGACAACCUCAACAACGGCGACCUUGACGAUGACCCGGGGCGUGAAGGCGGAGGCCGCGCGGCCCCGAAUCCAUGCCGCCGGCCAAAUCCGCGCGAGGUCGUGCGGCUGGCCAAAUCCGGCAGGGGUGGAUACCGCGCAGAGGUAGAGUCCUCCAGACGACGGCGGCCGCGGCUAGCGCCGACGCAGACGACGACGGCGGUGGUUGGCGACGAUGACCUUGGCAAGCACAGUUGAUGGGCGACGGCGAGCGUACAGGAGGCCGGGGCGGCGUCGGACAGAGAAGACUAGAAGAGGGGAGAUGGAGAAAGAGAUAGAAAGUGGGACCCACAGUGGGGCCCACCGUUUGGCCAGGGGAGGAGGCUGGCUACAUUUGGCCAUCCAAAUAGCUUAGCAGUUCAAAUAGCAAGCUGUUGGAGUGAGUUUUUUCACUGUUUGAGCUAAAAUUUAGCUUGGAGAGCCAUCUAGCAACUCUGUUGAGUUGCUCAUCUCAUACGGCCACAAGCUGCACGCAGGAAGACUUGAACGAGCAUCUCAUACGGCCAUAGGCUGCAUGCAGCUUAAUGCUUGACUUGACUAAUGAAGUCCGAUCCUUUCAGUCUCUCUCUCAAGGCUUUAUACCAAUCUCUCUCUUGGCUUCUUCGUUGGUGGUUUGGGUGGGAUUGGGCAUGGUAUAUUUCCGCGUCGACCUCGCGACGGUGCUCUUAUCGUUCCGACCACCGCUGCAGCGCGCGUCCCAGGAUGAAGAACGAGCAUGCCGGUAAACUAAAUUUGCUGCCAGCACUUCACCGGGCCUGCUUGCCAUGCGGUGAGACAUCCUAAAUUUCACCCCUAGUAAGCAUGUGCACGUAAUUAGAACGCGAAUCAAAAGCACAAUACGAUACAGACGAAGGAUCUGCCCAAAACUGGAUAUAUAUUUAUGGUCAAAGUAAACCAACAACGAUGAAAACAGAAUUAAGCUAGUAUUGCAGUAUAAGGAGCCCUCGAUUGCUGAAUGUACAAAAUCUCUUGAGCAUCUAAAAAUCUGGAUCUCCAGUGCAACAAGAAUGUCUGAGAAGCAGUACACUGUCAGUAGCUAAACACUGCACCUUAGUCUCUUCCACAUGACAGGAGAUGAAA